Molecule: long non-coding RNA, 1499 nt
Filed under: Heterocephalus glaber (naked mole-rat)
Lineage: Eukaryota; Metazoa; Chordata; Mammalia; Rodentia; Bathyergidae
Description: lncRNA (ENSHGLG00100050734.1)
Source: RNAcentral
UAGAACGUUCUUCUAACCGCAUUGUCCUCGGCUGGUCUCCCAAGAGGAAGUGGCUGGGUCCCUGGGGGAGAGGACACAGGCCUCAACUCAAGGACAGACCAAAGAGCAAGGCCAGAGUAAACUCUCAGCCUACUGAGGGGCCGAGAGUGGUGCAGGGAGGGGUCUCACUAUGUAGCUCAGGCUGGCCUCGAACUCAUGGCAAUUCUGCUGCCUCAGACUCCUGAGUGCUGAGAUUACAGGGGUGCACCACCACACCCGGCAUGAGAGGAGCACUGUAGCAAGUGGGCCCACACAUACCUGAGCCAGAGAAACCACAGCGGAGCUACUCAGGAGGCUGAGGCAGGAGGACUUUGAGUUCGAGGCCUGUUUGCACAACUUAGAGAGAUCCUGUCCGUGAGCUUAUUGAAAGGGACGUGAUCUGGCCUUUUCUAGAAAUCUAAUCCUUCCCAGAUGGAGUCCAGUUCUCUCACCCCAGCCCCCUGCAAGGCAGGGCUCCAGAAAGCAGGAGGGUUUUGUCUGCCAGAUCUGAGACUCAGCUGUCACUCACCAUUGAGGGGAUGUGAGGGGUGGAUCGCCUUCCUGAACCUCGGUUUCCCCAAAGAUCCAUGAGCCAACAAACACAGUACUGGCGGAUUGAACCAAGGGCCUUCACACAGCUACAUUCUCCGACCUUUUUUAUUCUUUAUUUUGAGACGGAGUGUAAGAAGAUAAAUUACCCAGGCUGGGCAAAAAUUUAUGAUCCUUCUGCCUCAUCCUCCCAGAGUACUGAGAUUACAGGCAUGGACUACCACACCCAGCUGGUCUCUUCUAAAGGGAAAGAAACAAGGAAGCUCUGAGACUCAGCCAUGUCUCUUCAAUGGUUUUGGAGAAAGCCCUGGCCUCUCCCUAUGGGGGAAGACGGUAGCUCUAAGACAGUGAAAAGCCUUGGAGAUGCCCACCCUGGGCCAACAAAGGGGAUUAACAUCACAGUGGCACUUCAGCAGAGGCCUGAGGUGAUAUCAGAGUGUGCUCUGUCCAGAGCAGUCAGUGAUUGGGCUUCCAGCUCCAGGCUAACCAUGAGAAAAACAGCAGACAAGUCUCAACUCCAGGACAGCUGCAAAACACCUGACCAGCGCUCCUCGAAACUGUCCAAAACAAGGAAAGUCUGAGAAACUGUCAGAAUCAAGGUAAUAUGAUGACUAAAUGUAAGUCAUAUCUUAGAAUAGAAAAAGGGCAUUAAGUAAAACCUCAGGAAAUGUGGACAAGGUAUGGAUUUACAUUUCAGUAACACUGUUUGUGUUUUUUGUGGUUUUUUUUGGUAGCUGGGAUCGAACUCGGGUCCUUGCAUUUGCAUAGCAGGCGGUGAAACCACUAAGCUAAAUCCCCAGCCCUUCAGUAACAUUGUUAAUAAUAUUAUAAAGCCUAUAGUAACAUAUCAGUAUUGUUUAUUAAACAAUGGCAGAUGUAAUACCAGUGUGAGAUGUUAAUAAUAGGGGAAAUUGGGUAUGGGAACUCUCCAU